UGCCAGCAGCCGCGGUAAUACGAGGGGUGCAAGCGUUAAUCGGAAUUACUGGGCGUAAAGCGUACGCAGGCGGUUUUUUAAGCCAGAUGUGAAAGCCCCGGGCUCAACCUGGGAAUAGCAUUUGGAACUGGGGAACUAGAGUCUUGUAGAGGGGGGUAGAAUUUCAGGUGUAGCGGUGAAAUGCGUAGAGAUCUGAAGGAAUACCGGUGGCGAAGGCACUUUACUGGGCUAUUACUAACACUCAGAGACGAAAGCUAGGGUAGCAAAUGGGAUUAGAUA
Molecule: ribosomal RNA, 279 nt
Filed under: uncultured bacterium
Lineage: Bacteria
Description: partial 16S ribosomal RNA
Rfam family: Bacterial small subunit ribosomal RNA
Source: RNAcentral